AACGAACGCUGGCGGCAUGCCUAACACAUGCAAGUCGAACGAGACCUUCGGGUCUAGUGGCGCACGGGUGCGUAACGCGUGGGAACCUGCCCUUAGGUUCGGAAUAACUCCCCGAAAGGGGUGCUAAUACCGGAUAAUGUCUUCGGACCAAAGAUUUAUCGCCUUUGGAUGGGCCCGCGUUGGAUUAGCUAGUUGGUAGGGUAAAAGCCUACCAAGGCGACGAUCCAUAGCUGGUCUGAGAGGAUGAUCAGCCACACUGGGACUGAGACACGGCCCAGACUCCUACGGGAGGCAGCAGUGGGGAAUAUUGGACACUGGGCGAAAGCGUGAUCCAGCAAUGCCGCGUGAGUGAUGAAGGCCUUAGGGUUGUAAAGCUCUUUUACCCGGGAUGAUAAUGACAGUACCGGGAGAAUAAGCUCCGGCUAACUCCGUG
RNAcentral lists this ribosomal RNA (433 nucleotides) under uncultured bacterium. Its description in RNAcentral is "partial 16S ribosomal RNA". It matches the Rfam family "Bacterial small subunit ribosomal RNA", at positions 29 to 507 of the family's 1533-position model. The record is from RNAcentral.